This 722-nucleotide ribosomal RNA is filed under the name uncultured fungus. RNAcentral's name for it is "SSU rRNA". It matches the Rfam family "Eukaryotic small subunit ribosomal RNA", at positions 331 to 1057 of the family's 1831-position model. Lineage: Eukaryota; Fungi. The record is from RNAcentral.
GGAUAGAGGCCUACCAUGGUGGUAACGGGUAACGGGGUGUUAGGGCACGACACCGGAGAGGGAGCCUGAGAAACGGCUACCACAUCCAAGGAUGGCAGCAGGCGCGCAAAUUACCCAAUCCCGACACGGGGAGGUAGUGACAAUAAAUAACAAUACGGGGUUCUUUCGGAUCUCGUAAUUGGAAUGAGUACAAUUUAAAUCUCUUAACGAGGAACAAUUGGAGGGCAAGUCUGGUGCCAGCAGCCGCGGUAAUUCCAGCUCCAAUAGCGUAUAUUAAAGUUGCUGCAGUUAAAAAGCUCGUAGUUGAAUUUCGGGGUUAGUAGGUUGGUCAUGCCUCUGGUAUGUACUGAUCUCACUGAUUCCUCCUUCCUUAUGAACCGUAAUGCCAUUAAUUUGGUGUUGCGGGGAAUUUGGACUGUUACUUUGAAAAAAUUAGAGCGUUUAAAGCAGGCUAACGCUUGAAUACAUUAGCAUGGAAUAAUGAAAUAGGACGUUCGAUCUUAUUUUGUUGGUUUCUAGGAUUGACGUAAUGAUUAAUAGGGAUAGUUGGGGGCAUUAGUAUUCAAUUGUCAGAGGUGAAAUUCUUGGAUUUAUUGAAGACUAACUACUGCGAAAGCAUUUGCCAAGGAUGUUUUCAUUAAUCAAGAACGAAAGUUAGGGGAUCGAAGACGAUCAGAUACCGUCGUAGUCUUAACCAUAAACUAUGCCGACUAGGGAUCGGA